GACGAACGCUGGCGGCGUGCCUAAUACAUGCAAGUAGAACGCUGAAGGAGGAGCUUGCUCUUCUGGAUGAGUUGCGAACGGGUGAGUAACGCGUAGGUAACCUGCCUGGUAGCGGGGGAUAACUAUUGGAAACGAUAGCUAAUACCGCAUAAGAGUAGAUGUUGCAUGACAUUUACUUAAAAGGUGCAAUUGCAUCACUACCAGAUGGACCUGCGUUGUAUUAGCUAGUUGGUGGGGUAACGGCUUACCAAGGCGACGAUACAUAGCCGACCUGAGAGGGUGAUCGGCCACACUGGGACUGAGACACGGCCCAGACUCCUACGGGAGGCAGCAGUAGGGAAUCUUCGGCAAUGGACGGAAGUCUGACCGAGCAACGCCGCGUGAGUGAAGAAGGUUUUCGGAUCGUAAAGCUCUGUUGUAAGAGAAGAACGAGUGUGAGAGUGGAAAGUUCACACUGUGACGGUAGCUUAACAGAAAGGGACGGCUAACUACGUG
RNAcentral lists this ribosomal RNA (495 nucleotides) under uncultured bacterium. RNAcentral's name for it is "partial 16S ribosomal RNA". It matches the Rfam family "Bacterial small subunit ribosomal RNA", at positions 28 to 507 of the family's 1533-position model. The record is from RNAcentral.